Molecule: small nucleolar RNA, 138 nt
Filed under: Ornithorhynchus anatinus (platypus)
Lineage: Eukaryota; Metazoa; Chordata; Mammalia; Monotremata; Ornithorhynchidae
Source: RNAcentral
AUCCUCUCAGGGUUGCACCUGGCGAGUAUCCAGUACUCUACAAGUCUCAACUAUGGGAGAGAGAGUCAAGCAGAGGCAUAUCCAUUCCAUUCCUAGCCUGGGCAGUGGCUAGAGAGUGGAAGGCAAUCUGCUAUAAGU